RNAcentral lists this ribosomal RNA (253 nucleotides) under uncultured bacterium. RNAcentral describes it as "partial 16S ribosomal RNA". It matches the Rfam family "Bacterial small subunit ribosomal RNA", at positions 524 to 776 of the family's 1533-position model. The record is from RNAcentral.
AACGUAGGACGCAAGCGUUAUCCGGAGUUACUGGGCGUAAAGCGCGGGCAGGCGGUUCUUUAAGUCUGAUGUGAAAUCUCCCGGCUCAACCGGGAGCAGCCAUUGGAGACUAGGGAACUGGAGGGCGAGAGAGGUAGGCGGAAUUCCGGGUGGAGUGGUGAAAUGCGUAGAGAUCCGGAGGAACACCAGAGGCGAAGGCGGCCUACUGGCUCGCACCUGACGCUGAGCCGCGAAAGCCAGGGGAGCGAACGGG